AGUCGACCGAGCGACCAUUGCUCACUACCGCCGCGCAUCAGCGAACUGCAGCAGAGCCGCGCACGCCUCAUGAGGAAUAUAUCGCAAGUGGACCGAGACGGCUGCUGUGUCCUAAGUGGGAUUUUUCUAAGAGAAAAUAAAUACUAGAAACGCCAGAAGUUUCAGCGGCGUGGACGCAAUACUUUCUUUCGUGGGUGGCGUUUUAGUUUCCAGCGCCCGUCACUGCCUUGAAGUAACGUUACAUGUGAACCAGCGACUCCUUCGGCUUCUCAGUCCCUCCCUCCUCUCCCCGAAACUCCAACGAAAAUACUUCAACUCUUGCUCUCGCUGGAGGAUUUUACCGCACUUCUGGUUAUUUUUUUCGGUCCGAGCCCAGCCGUGUUUCCUGUGCAGCCUAGAUCAGUGCUUGCUAUGGAUGGACCUCUGAGAGGGACCAUUCAGUGCAGCUGCACAUCUUGAAUAGCA
Molecule: long non-coding RNA, 465 nt
Organism: Anarrhichthys ocellatus (wolf-eel)
Lineage: Eukaryota; Metazoa; Chordata; Actinopteri; Perciformes; Anarhichadidae
Exons: 2
Source: RefSeq, a predicted model, not a curated record